GAUUUUUUUCUUAGUGUAUACGAGUUUUUAAAAAGAAAGGAGCAAUAUCAAUCCUCUUGAUAAAAAAAGAGAUUGGUUAUUGCUCCUUUAAUACUAAUUAAUACUAAUUUAAUUUAAUAGUAAUUUUGCUUACAUAAGCAUAAGUUUUUUUUGACUUCAAUGUCAUAAAAAAAUCUUAUGAAUUUAUGAUUAUGUAUUGUUUUUUAAUUUAAAUUAGAAUAUCUAGGCUCUGAACAAUUCUUUUUAUUAAUAUUUAAUAUCUAAAAAAGUAAAUCUUAGAGGG
Molecule: unclassified non-coding RNA, 283 nt
Filed under: Tamarix dalmatica
Lineage: Eukaryota; Viridiplantae; Streptophyta; Magnoliopsida; Caryophyllales; Tamaricaceae
Description: trnH-psbA intergenic spacer
Source: RNAcentral